ACACGACUCUCGGCAACGGAUAUCUCGGCUCUCGCAUCGAUGAAGAMCGUAGCGAAAUGCGAUACCUGGUGUGAAUUGCAGAAUCCCGCGAACCAUCGAGUCUUUGAACGCAAGUUGCGCCCGAGCCAUUCGGCCGAGGGCACGCCUGCCUGGGCGUCACGC
This 162-nucleotide ribosomal RNA is filed under the name Avena clauda. RNAcentral's name for it is "5.8S ribosomal RNA". It matches the Rfam family "5.8S ribosomal RNA". Rfam says of the family: 5.8S ribosomal RNA (5.8S rRNA) is a component of the large subunit of the eukaryotic ribosome. It is transcribed by RNA polymerase I as part of the 45S precursor that also contains 18S and 28S rRNA. The record is from RNAcentral. Lineage: Eukaryota; Viridiplantae; Streptophyta; Magnoliopsida; Poales; Poaceae.